RNAcentral lists this ribosomal RNA (27 nucleotides) under Quambalaria tasmaniae. RNAcentral's name for it is "partial 18S ribosomal RNA". Lineage: Eukaryota; Fungi; Basidiomycota; Exobasidiomycetes; Microstromatales; Quambalariaceae. The record is from RNAcentral.
UGUAGGUGAACCUGCAGAAGGAUCAUU